Molecule: transfer RNA, 60 nt
Filed under: Opisthopatus cinctipes
Lineage: Eukaryota; Metazoa; Onychophora; Udeonychophora; Euonychophora; Peripatopsidae
Description: tRNA-Leu
Source: RNAcentral
UAUAUAAUAAUUAAACAUAAAUAUAAUACAUUGAUAGUGUAAUAAUUAUUUAUUAAAUAA